AUGCCGCCCCCUCAAGGACCGGAUUACAGGCCCAUGUCUCCGGCGAAGCCGUCAUUCAGGGGUCCGACAUCGAUGGCAGGGGUCAGAUGCCUUGGUCUCGUGACCUCCGGUCGCCGUAUCCCUCCUGCAUGCGUCCCUCACCUACGCAUCUCCAUCUCACCAUGGACAGCUUCCUCGUCAGGCUUGAACUUCUUCUCCAGCCUCCGCCCUGCUACUCUAGCUGUCCUCGUUGAAGUCCCCCGACUGCCGUGUGCUUCUCCCCUGCCUCUUGUCACCUCCGGCUCCCCAACCUCCUGGCUCAGGUACCACACAAUAUGCUAG
RNAcentral lists this ribosomal RNA (321 nucleotides) under Triticum aestivum (bread wheat). RNAcentral's name for it is "partial small subunit ribosomal RNA". Lineage: Eukaryota; Viridiplantae; Streptophyta; Magnoliopsida; Poales; Poaceae. The record is from RNAcentral.